RNAcentral lists this long non-coding RNA (352 nucleotides) under Phoenix dactylifera (date palm). RNAcentral's name for it is "long non-coding RNA (PDAC_LNC008381)". The record is from RNAcentral. Lineage: Eukaryota; Viridiplantae; Streptophyta; Magnoliopsida; Arecales; Arecaceae.
UUCAAUUGAGGUUGAUGUAGCUGGAGGCUAGGGCCCUUCCUCUAUGCCAAUCUUUUGCUACCAUAUCCGGAUCAAGGAAGGAACAUAGCUCGGAUGAUUUUGAGAUCGGCUGGAGACGGACUAAGCAGGCUAGUUGAGGCAUAGGGCACUGGACUCCUCUGUUGGGUGGCCUACAAGAAGUCCACUUGUCGGAGUAUUUUCGAUGGAGGAUUCUCUGAUGCCUAAGUCAAAAAAAUGGAGACAACAAUAUGGAAGGCAGAGAUUUCAGUAGAGUCAGCGCUCGGUGAAGAGAGUAGCAAAUUGCGUGUAUAUUGCGUAGCUGAGGUCCUCUGGGUUGCUUUUGUUAUAUAGA